Chroicocephalus ridibundus (black-headed gull) is the source of this 970-nucleotide long non-coding RNA. RefSeq lists it as uncharacterized. The transcript has 4 exons. The record is from RefSeq and is a predicted model, not a curated record. Lineage: Eukaryota; Metazoa; Chordata; Aves; Charadriiformes; Laridae.
AGAGUGUCUUCCAACUGCAAUUUGAGAGGACUUGUUCAACAAGAUGAUGACUGAGGUACUAUAUCUGGCAGAAGAUGAAGAAGAGAAUCUUAGACCUUAAUCCUAAGCAACUGUUUGUGAGAGAGAGGGAGAAGAUUUCACGCGUAUACGUCUGAUAUGCAGUUCCUGGGAAGACUUCGCAGGCCGAUACCAGUAGCUUUUCAGCUCUUUCCACAGAUCGUACCAUGACUGAGAUGUUCCCUCCCAGGUGUGAAGGACAUCCACGAAGUUUGCAUCGUCGGGGGAGAGGCGCUUGCUAGGGUCCACUCCUUCAAACAUAGGGCCGGCCGGAUCCAAGCCUGGUGUUAGAGACAGUACGCAGGAUGCCAGGGCACCUGGCGCCGCUCCUAUCUGCGGGACUCGAGUCCAGUUCUAAGAAGAGACUGGAGGGGAGGGGGCAGACAAGCAUCGCUUCGUUCUUUGUUUUGUCAAGACAAGUCGAAGGGUUUGGAGGGCGCUUGUGGUUUGCCCCCAACCACAGCACCCGGCUUCCAACCCCAGUUGUGAUACUCUUCGUUUAAGCGGGAUCUGGAGCAGCCUUUCCCCAGGGUCCCCAGCAGACCUCAGCACUGGCCCUGGACUCCAGUGUAGCACCGUGGGCCUUUUCCUUCUCCUUUUCCACCCUCUUGCCAAGCCAACGCUGACUUUGAAUGCCCAACUCUUAAAUUCACGUUGCUCAGGCGGGAGGAAGGACUCCUAAACUUGAAGUCCACUUCGACAUCCCCUAUCCGAGCACGCUGCAAAACGGCGUCACCCAGGAAAGCGCCACGGCACUUCCUGGCGCCAGGGCUGAGCGUGGCACCUGCGCCGUGAGCCAUCGCCCCACCGAGCCUUGGGGUUGGGAUUACACCAGCGCCUUCCCCGCUCGCCAGCGCCGGAGCUGGUGACCUCUCCCUUGUGCAACAGUCCCUCACCGGAGCGUUACAACAGA